UGUUACCUUCUCCAUGCCCGGACGAGACGCGCCGUACCCGGUUAAGACAAGACGACGCUUG
Molecule: non-coding RNA, 61 nt
Filed under: Asticcacaulis sp. AC466
Lineage: Bacteria; Pseudomonadati; Pseudomonadota; Alphaproteobacteria; Caulobacterales; Caulobacteraceae
Also listed under: 1 other name
Source: RNAcentral